RNAcentral lists this ribosomal RNA (496 nucleotides) under uncultured bacterium. Its description in RNAcentral is "partial 16S ribosomal RNA". It matches the Rfam family "Bacterial small subunit ribosomal RNA", at positions 28 to 507 of the family's 1533-position model. The record is from RNAcentral.
GAUGAACGCUGGCGGCGUGCCUAAUACAUGCAAGUCGAGCGAACAGACGAGAAGCUUGCUCCUCUGAUGUUAGCGGCGGACGGGUGAGUAACACGUGGAUAACCUACCUAUAAGACUGGGAUAACUUCGGGAAACCGGAGCUAAUACCGGAUAAUAUAUUGAACCGCAUGGUUCAAUAGUAAAAGACGGUUUUGCUGUCACUUAUAGAUGGAUCCGCGCUGCAUUAGCUAGUUGGUAAGGUAACGGCUUACCAAGGCAACGAUGCAUAGCCGACCUGAGAGGGGGUUCGCCAACACGGAAACUGAGCAAGGGCCCGAAUACUGAGGGGAGGCAGCGGAGGGGAAUCUCCGGAAUGGGGCGAAGGCCGGCGGGGGCAAGGCGGCGGAGGGAAUAAGGGCUUUCGAUUCGUAAAACGCGGUAUUAGGGAAGAAAAAAAUGGUUAGGAAACGAUGCCCGCUUGGCGGGUACUAAACAAGAAGGCAACGGUAAAUACGGG